This 69-nucleotide transfer RNA is filed under the name Cimbex luteus. RNAcentral's name for it is "tRNA-Gln". The record is from RNAcentral. Lineage: Eukaryota; Metazoa; Arthropoda; Insecta; Hymenoptera; Cimbicidae.
UAUUUUAUAAUGUAAGAAGCAUAAAGAUUUUUGAUAUCUUAAGAUAUAGUUUAAUUCUAUUUAAAAUAU